Long non-coding RNA from Prionailurus viverrinus (fishing cat), 204 nucleotides. RefSeq lists it as uncharacterized. The record is from RefSeq and is a predicted model, not a curated record. NCBI's taxonomy places the organism in Eukaryota, Metazoa, Chordata, Mammalia, Carnivora, Felidae. The transcript has 4 exons.
CUGAGGACACUGUGACUAUGGUUCCAUGGCCCCAGAGAUCGAUACCGUAGUGAUGGGGUCCCCUCACCCUGUUUCUUGCACAGUAAUAUGUGGCCGUGUCCUCAGUCUUCAGGUUGUUCAUCUGCAGAUACAGCGUGUUCUUGGCGUUGUCUCUGGAGAUGGUGAAUCGGCCCUUCACGGAGUCUGCGUAGAUUGUGUCUCUUA